RNAcentral lists this ribosomal RNA (411 nucleotides) under Hordeum euclaston. The record is from RNAcentral. Lineage: Eukaryota; Viridiplantae; Streptophyta; Magnoliopsida; Poales; Poaceae.
UUUUUAAUAUAUUUUUGCUCCACGCGAGAAAGAUGCGUACGUGCGCGGAAUAUAUUAAGCACGGUUCCUUAUUUCCGAGUUCUCAUGCUGAUCAGCUUGAUAUAUUAUACGGGUUUUUUCGACAUCGUAUGCAAAAGUUAUAGCCGUUUUACUUUUUCAUAACACUUUUUUGCAAAACAUGUCAAAAUUUAUGUUUUUGAAUUUUCCUAACUAAUAGAUGUAGUAACAUAAAUACAUCUCGAAGGAUUUUAAUUUUUGAAGUUUUUAUCAUUUUCUUUUCUUUUUUUCAAAACUAAAAUGGCGAUAGGGGGGGCAGCAUAAUGGACGAAGGCGGGGGUAACAUGUCGGAUGCGAUCAUACCAGCACUAAAGCACCGGAUCCCAUCCUGGGAAGUCCUCGUGUUGCAUUCCC